RNAcentral lists this non-coding RNA (262 nucleotides) under Enterococcus sp. RNAcentral's name for it is "T-box sequence". It matches the Rfam family "T-box leader". Rfam says of the family: Uncharged tRNA acts as the effector for transcription antitermination of genes in the T-box leader family. T-boxes are found upstream of many aminoacyl-tRNA synthetase genes and some amino acid biosynthetic genes usually in Gram-positive bacteria. The record is from RNAcentral. Lineage: Bacteria; Bacillati; Bacillota; Bacilli; Lactobacillales; Enterococcaceae.
UUAUACGCGUUGAAAAGAAGAGUACAGAUUGGUGAAUUUUUAAGAGAGCUUCGGUAGGUGAAAAGAAGCAAAGGAAGCAAUUUGGAAGAUGGUCUUGGAGCAGAUGGUCGUGAAUCGUCGAGAUAAACGAUCAGCGGGAAUGCCCGUUAUAGCAUAACAGUAUUGAUGAACUUGAGAGAGACAUCUGUACUGGUUAAGGCUGCAGCUGCAAAGUGGCAGUGAAAAAAGGUGGUAACACGGAGUUAAGGCUCCCGUCCUUUUC